ACGUAGGGUGCAGGCGUUAAUCGGAAUUACUGGGCGUAAAGCGUGCGCAGGCGGCUACUCAAGUCAGAUGAGAAAUCCCCGGGCUUAACCUGGGAACUGCGUUUGAAACUGGGUAGCUGGAGUGCGGCAGAGGGGGGUGGAAUUCCACGUGUAGCAGUGAAAUGCGUAGAUAUCUGGAGGAACACCGGUGGCGAAGGCGGCAUCCUGGACCGGUAUUGACGCUGAGGCGCGAAAGCCAGGGGAGCAAACGGGA
Molecule: ribosomal RNA, 253 nt
Filed under: uncultured prokaryote
Description: partial 16S ribosomal RNA
Rfam family: Bacterial small subunit ribosomal RNA
Source: RNAcentral